This 1036-nucleotide non-coding RNA is filed under the name Pan troglodytes (chimpanzee). Lineage: Eukaryota; Metazoa; Chordata; Mammalia; Primates; Hominidae. The record is from RNAcentral.
AGAGGCUGUGCCUUCCACAAAUGCUAUCCUGUAUCUGUCAGAAGCAGCUAUUUCUUUGCCAUCCUUAAACCAGGACACCCUCAUGGGGAGGGAGCCUGCAAUUUUGCAGUCCAGUCUGCAGAUGUUUGGCUUCCAGCUUCAUUUUCAGCCAGGCACGUGUAUUUGCCUCCAAAACUAAUCUGAACAUCAGGGAUUAUCAAGACUGCAACACCAGUGGAAAAGCUCAUUUUGAUUUUUCCGUCUUCUCUGAUGACCUCUUGACCUUUCAUCCAUGUGACAGAAAUGGGCUCUGACCCUCUCACAGCAGCUUGCAGGCUAAUUUCAAAUGGUCCAGUGCCUGAGACUUCACACUGAAGUAGAGCAUUUGUUCCUCUCACUAUGUCUGCAGGCUCAAGAGUUUUGAUGAAGGAAGGAGGUUCUACAAAAGCAUGAAAGCAUUGUGUGGACCUUCUUAUUGAUAGCGGACUGCACAGGCUCUAAUUCUUUAAUGAAAUGUGGCUUAUCAAUGAUGAUCAACUCUGCUUGGCAGAUGUCUGCUCCAAACUUGUUAGAAGCCUUACAAGAAUAAACUCCUCUAUCUUGAAUGGCUCUGCAGUACCUACCUACCAUGUUACUGCCUUGGUUGUUGGUCUCUCCAGUUGGUAAUACAAGCAUUUCCCACACAUGUACAGAAAGCAAAAAGGACAACAAUAUGCAAUGAAGUGACAACAUCUGUGCCAAUGUAUGGCAUUUACCUGUCACAGUUAGUGUGGCUGUACAGCUGACACUGCCAUACUCAUUGGAAGCUUUGCAUGUAUACUCGCCGCAGUCAACCACCUGGGUUCUCAGGAUUUCAAGGCUGGAGAUAUACUUUGAAGAUCGAAUAGAACACUUGUCACUCUCAUAAAUUUCUCGGCCAGCUUUAAACCACUGGAACCGGACAUUGGGAGCACUUUGGAUCUCACAGCAUAUAAGUAUUAGAAGACAGGAUUCAAGUGUCUGCUGGCUGUAAAAAUACUGGAGAAACUCAUCUAUAGCAUGCAGAAUACAUAUUCAG